This 319-nucleotide ribosomal RNA is filed under the name uncultured eukaryote. RNAcentral's name for it is "partial 18S ribosomal RNA". It matches the Rfam family "Eukaryotic small subunit ribosomal RNA", at positions 1470 to 1796 of the family's 1831-position model. The record is from RNAcentral.
CCCUUAGAUGUUCUGGGCAGCACGUGCGCUACAAUGGUCUUCGCAAACGGAUGCAUUCUCGAAGGAGAAUGCCAAUCUUGGAAUCUAUGCCUUGGUCGGGACAGUUGCUUGCAAUUUUUCGACUCGAACCAGGAAUUCCUUGUAAUCGUGAUUCAUCACAUCACGAUGAAUACGUCCCUGCCCUUUGUACACACCGCCCGUCGCUCCUACCGAUCGAAGAGUUAGGUGAAUUGUUUUGAUCGAUAAGAUUUGACUAUGGUCAACUCUCGUUGUGAAAUUCUGUGAGUCUGACUGUUUAGAGGAAGGAAAAGUCGUAACA